CCUUAUCAUUCACCAGUCCGGUUAGAUUUUUUGGAAAGUUCCUUUUUCUUGGUUGCACCAAGAUUUAAGUUGAACACCCUACUGGACGGAGAACUGAUAAGGGC
This 104-nucleotide microRNA precursor is filed under the name Daphnia pulex (common water flea). Its description in RNAcentral is "Dpu-Mir-184_pre stem-loop". Lineage: Eukaryota; Metazoa; Arthropoda; Branchiopoda; Diplostraca; Daphniidae. The record is from RNAcentral.